GAUGAACGCUGGCGGCGUGCCUAAUACAUGCAAGUCGAGCGAAUGGAUUAAGAGCUUGCUCUUAUGAAGUUAGCGGCGGACGGGUGAGUAACACGUGGGUAACCUGCCCAUAAGACUGGGAUAACUCCGGGAAACCGGGGCUAAUACCGGAUAACAUUUUGAACCGCAUGGUUCGAAAUUGAAAGGCGGCUUCGGCUGUCACUUAGGGAUGGAACCGCGUCGCAUUAGCUAGUUGGUUAGGUAACGGCCUACCAAGGCUAUAACGGGUAGGGGGUCUGAGAGGAUGGCCCCCCACAAUGGCACUGAGACACGGGCCAUACACCUACGGGUGGCAGCAACUAGGAAUAGUCGACAAUGGGCGAAAGCCUGAUCGCGCGACGCCGCGUGUGGGAUGAAGUCUCUCGGGUUGUAAACCACUGUGAUAGGGGAAGAAGUCCCGCCUUUGGCGGGAUUGACGGUACCCUAUUAGAAAGCCGCUACAAACUACGUGCCAGCCGCCGCGGUAA
RNAcentral lists this ribosomal RNA (506 nucleotides) under uncultured bacterium. RNAcentral's name for it is "partial 16S ribosomal RNA". It matches the Rfam family "Bacterial small subunit ribosomal RNA", at positions 28 to 523 of the family's 1533-position model. The record is from RNAcentral.